This is a long non-coding RNA of Mercenaria mercenaria, 8259 nucleotides long. RefSeq lists it as uncharacterized. The record is from RefSeq and is a predicted model, not a curated record. The transcript is spliced from 3 exons. Lineage: Eukaryota; Metazoa; Mollusca; Bivalvia; Venerida; Veneridae.
UUUAUGGAUGAGGGGCCCUUAUUUAAAGGUUUCAUGAAGGACUAUAAAGCUGGUCUCCAUACAGACUUGUCCGGUUAUGGUUUCAUGAAGAUUUUAUGACAAGACUGGAGAAAGCCUAUUAACUAGCUGACAGUGCCGAAGUGGUUAUUGUUGAAGAAUAGUGAAGCGUAUGCAAUUUGGAGAUCUCGGCAGUUAUAUGCAGUCUGGGGAUAUCGUCAGUUGUAUGCAGUCAGUGGAUUUCGACAGUUGUAUGCAGUCAGAAGAUCAUGACAGUUUUGUGCAGUCCAGGGACUCAACAGUACUUUGCAGUCCGGGGAUCUUGACAGUUGUAUGCAGUCAGGAGAUCACAACAGUUGUAUGCAGUCCGGGGAUCUCGACAGUACUUUGCAGUCCAGGGAUCUUGACAGUUGUAUGCAGUCAGGAGAUCUUGGAUCUUUUUAUACUGUUGACAUUCUCAAGAUUCUGUCUUAAAUAAAACUUACUUGGACAGCUUAAAAGCUUCUCUAUAACUUGCCUGUGACAUUCUAAAGUAGAAGACAUGUGUAUGAAUAUUUAGUUCCGGCAUGCCAUACUUGAGCAGUUGAGUUUUGGAAAGGUGGCCAUUUGAAUGAAACUAUUAUUUGGCAAAUUGACGUGGAUUUUGGUAGUAAAUAUGUUAUCAGUGGUGCAAGACUGGAAUUUUGACUCUUAAGGUGAAAAAGUGGACUAACCGCAUGAUGAAAGAUCUAUACCUUUGCACAGGCUAUAAAGAAGUGUCAUCUGUUUUCAUGGGUAGUUUCGAGGACUUUAUAAGUAAUUUUUUGAAGUUUGUGUAUUUUUGAAUGUGUUGAAGCACAAUGAGGAACCUUUGGACUUAACAGCAGUGUCAGAACAGGACAACUGGUUCAGCUGGCCGGUCUGGGACGUUCAAUGCCCAGACUGCUGGUGCCGGGAACCCCACUGACGGAACAACUAGUUUGGCUGGCUGGUCCAAGUCCUCACAGACCCAGACAGCUGGUGCCGCAAACCCCUCGGACGUCAGCAGGAAUGGAGUUCAACAUAUGGAGUCAAAAGAAACUGAAAAUACAAAACUGUUUUGAUUAGUGAUGACAACCGCACUGAAAGGACAAGUGGUUUGGCUGGCCGGUCUGGGGUAUUCAGUGCUCAGACUGCUGGUGCCGCGAAUCCAAAUGACAGGACAACUGGUUCGGCUGGCCGGUUUGGGUCCUCACAGACCCAGACUGCUGGUGCCGCGAACCCUACAGAUGUUGACAGGAAUGGAGUUCAUCAUAUGGAGUCGAAAGAAACUGAAAACACAAAACUGUUUUGAUUAGUGAUGACAACCGCACUGACAGGACAACUGGUUCGGCUGGCCGGUCUGGGGUGUCCAAUGCCCAGACUGCUGGUGCCGCGAACCCCACCGACAGGACAACUGGUUCGGGUCCUCACAGACCCAGACUGCUGGUGCCACAAACCCCACGGAUGUCCGCGGCUCUCAUCUGGUGGAAGAAACAGCUACAGGUGGUGAGCAGCAUAGAAACGAGCACUCUGGAAAUCGAGGAUAUGAUUCCAAUUGUUACCAGGCUGGUGACCUUGAUCGUGGUCAUACGGAUACGGAGGAUUUGAUAGGCAGGCGGGGAACCGCAGACAGGGCAUGAAUAAAGGACAGGGCAGGUAUCAUGGAAGAGGUGCAUCUGAUAAACAGGGCGGGAGUGAUCGUUCUAUGAGAUACUGUUCUUGAGAUCGCAGUGGGCAUGAUUCUUAUCACCCACACCCUGGGAGUUCAGUAGUAGAGGUUGACAGAGCAGAUUUCAGAGAUGAUAGGAAGACAGAGAGAGCACAGACACAGGAGACGAUAGCCGUUGAAGCCACCAACGUCUUGACUGAGACUUUUAUAAUUAUUGUAAUAAACUUGGUUGAAUGUGAAUGGAUGGAACACAAAUGGCUUCUCAGAUAAUUUUAAUUUUAGAGCAAAUUUUAUUGAUAAACUUCAUUUUGAUGUAAUUGUUAUUUCAGAAACACACCUAGCAGGUGAUAAGAUAAUUGAACUGUCUAUGUAUUUUAUGGACACAAUAGAAAAAAUAUUCACGUAAAUGCACAAACUGGUUCACGUGGAGUUUGUAUUUUUGUAAAAAGGUCCAUUUGCAUUGAAAUUUUAGACAUAAGCUAUGAGGGAAUUUUAUGGUUAAGUUUUAAAUCUAAAAAAGUUUUGAGAAAAUUUUUACUGUUUGUGCUUGCUUUUUGCCAAAAAUGGAAUCUUCUGCAUAUGUGGAGAUCAUGAUUAUUUUGACCAACAGUUAAGUAAUAUGUAUGAGUAUCAGAAAUUUGGUAAAUUGUUUAUUCAUCAGCAGAUCGGGUGUAAGAGAUAACUGGCGAAGUUCUGUACCAUUUGAAUUUGUAGAUGAUUCUGAGAUUUGUACUUCUAGCCCUUCUAGUUUUAGUUUUAAAUAUGUGGAAAACAGACUUUUAUAACUUACACUGAAUACUGACAUGUCUGUUGAAGGGAUUGCAAAUAAUGAAAGCAAUGUAUAUAUAGAUAAAUGUACUGAUCAAGACAUAUUCACAUUGUUUGAUGUUAAAACUGCUAUUUCUAAUGUUAAAAAUAAUAGAGCAAUGAGAUAUGAUGAAAUACCAAGUAUAGGUUUUACAAAUCAGGCACAGUAUUUGCAUUUGAUGUUUAAUUUCUGUUGUAACACCGGCAAAGUACCAAAAGCUUUGGGUAAAAGUAUUAUUAACCCUAUACUGAAAGGAUCUACAACCACUACUAAGGAUCCAUUGUCUUACAUGGGUAUUUCAAUCACACCAGUCGUACACAAAAUUAUUGUUCAUUGUUAAAUAAGAAACUUACCUCUUUUGUUCAAACAAACUGUAUUUUAUUUGAUGGCCAAAAUGGCUUCAGUAAAAGUCCAAGUACAAUUGUUCAUCUGUCGACUUGAUGCAGAAUAAAAAUAUGCACUUUUUCUAUAUCAACACUAAGUAUGAUUAUAAACUAAGCAAAUUAAAAAAUAUGCACUUUUUUCUGUAUCGACCCAUCUAUGAAAUUAAGAUAAAACUACCGCUACAUGGCCUUAUGUUCUUGAUAAAAUAACAUAUACAGGGUAGGUAAAUCAGUAGUUCCUGUUUGGUCCAAUAGGAUGAAAUCUAUAUAUAUUGCAGCAUUCGGAGAGUUAUCUUCCCAAAUGAUUUAACAGGUGUCGCUACUGGCAAAUAGGUCCUAUCAGUGUGGUGUGCUCUCGGCUUUUAGCAUAGUGUUAAAACCUUUCAGGAGUUUCAAACACCUGAAAGUGAUUGAAUUAUUUAAAAAGAUAUAGUUAUGUAAUUUAUCAAUAUCAUCCAUUUGAUAACUGGUUCUUCUGUUUUUAACAUAAAUUUAAAGCCUUGUAGAAUUUUCAUUAUUUCAAAAUGCUGGCCAGUAAUAUAUAACUGAUAUAUUGUUGUAGCAUUUAUUUAAAGCAAGUCACAUUUCCAUUUAAUUUUUUAGCAAAGUGGGGCUAGUAUAUUUAGCUAGCUAGUUGAAAAUAUUGCUGAAAUUUACCAUUGUUUCAAAUAGAUGGUGAUUACUUUACAUAUUAAGUUUUCAUUAACUACUAGAUCUUUUAUGGUACUUCUGAAUUGAUGUUCACUACAUCAAGGGCGUAGCAGCUGGGGCGGCAGGGGCGGCACCCGCCGCCCCAAUAUUUCGAGGAGCGGCGAAAUGCCGAACUCGUAAAUUUUUGAAAAGGCUUGAAAAUAUAAUUGAAAAUAAAUACAGCGGUCAUCCAUUUAUCAUGAAGUGCAUCGGCGACUGAUAUGUACACAGAAUCUUGUCAUAUCACCGACACCUUGCUAGAUCACCUUGGUGACAGGGUAUUGUACAAAAUCGAUAAUCCGCAACGACCAAGGUCGCCGUAUUUUCACGCCCCGCAGACUCGGAUUAUAGGCAAUACAUUAAUUUUAUUAAUGAAAGUGAAUCGUUUUUAAUUGUUUUCUGCCAAAAUUGCAAUUAAUUGGAAUUAAUGUUGUGUCUCAAAUUCUCCUGACAAAGGAAAGUAUCUUGAGUAAAACACAAACGCAAAUCGGGAUCUUUAGAUGUCUUUACCUAAAAUAUAUUAAAUUAAAUAUUUUUGACACUUAAACAUGUUGUUUGAAAAUCAAAGGCACCAAUCAUAAUGAUUAAAUUCAACGCAUAAAAUGUAGAAAAAUCCUCGUAGAUUUUACAGAUCUAGUAAAAUUAACAAGUAUUACAGCUUCUACAUAAAAAUAUAAAAGGCCAAUCAGCCUCGCAAUUUUGCAUUUCCAAAUCGAUCAUUUGGUAAAAAGAACCCUCAAUGGUUCAAAGAAAACAGUGAUUUGCGUUUUACCUUUAUAAUGCCUUUUAAUGACUAAAAUGCUAUAAGGAUUGGAUUACCCCUUUAAGUCAGGGUCUUGUGCUCCAUCCCCUAUUUAGACAUUACUGGUUUUACUCUGGCAAGACAUUGUCCGUAUCUAACAUGGUACCGCCAUUACAGUGUUUGAACAUAGUAAACUGUAAAUAGGGGUGAAAACUCGAAAAAAAACAAGUAUGUUCAACAGAUACUGAGCAGUCCAAGAAGUCGCCAGAUUGCACCAUUUACUCUAGCUAUAUGCAAAAUUUUCCCAGGGCCACCCCUGACCCCGUUCAUAGGAGGGGGACACCCCCUCCCAAACCCACCCCUCCGCCGCCCCAAUGCUUAAAUCGUCCCUACGUCCCUGUACAUACUAAGUAUUGCUUCAGUAAGUUUGAUUAAUUGAAGUGACUUUAAUAUAGUACAAUGAUAUUUUAAGAAUUGCCAUGUUAAAGGUGUCAUUGUGAAGUUUUCAGCCACCUUGAUCUUUAUUUAGGGAACUGAAGCCAUUGUUGCUACACUGUAUCUAUUUUUAGCUCAUCUGAUUUUUUGAAAAAAAAUGAUGAGUUAUUGUCAUCACUUGAGCGGUUGUCGGCGUCGGCGUCGGCGUUGCCUGGUUAAGUUUUAUGUUUAGGUCAGCUUUUCUCCUAAACUAUCAAAGCUAUUGCUUUGAAACUUGGAAUACUUGUUCACCAUCAUAAGCUGACCCUGUAUAGCAAGAAACAGAACUCCAUCUCGCUUUUUGCAAGAUUUAUGGCCCCUUUUGUACUUAGAAAAUACCAGAUUUCUUGGUUAAGUUUUAUGUUUAGGUCAACUUUUCUCCUAAACUAUCAAAGCUAUUGCUUUGAAACUUGGAAUACUUGUUCACCAUCAUAAGCAGACCCUGUACAUCAAGAAACAUAACUCCAUCUUGCUUUUUGCAAGAUUUAUGGCCCCUUUUGUACUUAGAAAAUAUCAGAUUUCUUGGUUAAGUUUUAUGUUUAGGUCAACUUUUCUCCUAAACUAUCAAAGCUAUUGCUUUGAAACUUGGAAUACUUGUUCACCAUCAUAAGCAGACCCUGUACAUCAAGAAACAUAACUCCGUCUUGCUUUUUGCAAGAUUUAUUGCCCCUUUUGGACUUAGAAACUUUUUUUUUUAUGGUUAAGUUUUAUGUUUAGGUCAGCUUUUAUCCUAAACUAUCAAAGCUAUUGCUUUAAAACUUGCAACACUUGUUCACCAUCAUAAGUUGACCCUGUACAGCAAGAAACAUAACUCCAUCCUGCUUUUUGCAAGAUUUAUGGCCCCUUUUGGACUUAGAAAAUAUCAGAUUUCUUGGUUAAGUUUUAUGUUUAGGUCAACUUUUCUCCUAAACUAUCAAAGCUAUUGCUUUGAAACUUGGAAUACUUGUUCACCAUCAUAAGCAGACCCUGUACAUCAAGAAACAUAACUCCAUCUUGCUUUUUGCAAGAUUUAUUGCCCCUUUUGGACUUAGAAACUUUUUUUUUUUAUGGUUAAGUUUUAUGUUUAGGUCAGCUUUUAUCCUAAACUAUCAAAGCUAUUGCUUUAAAACUUGCAACACUUGUUCACCAUCAUAAGCUGACCCUGUACAGCAAGCAACAUAACUCCAUCCGGCUUUUUGCAAUAAUUAUUGCCCCUUUUGGACUUAGAAAAUCAUUUUCUUGGUUGAGUAUUAUGUUUAAGUCAACUUUUCUCAUAAACUAUCAAAGCUAUUGCUUUAAAACUUGCAACAGUUUUUCACCAUCAUAAGUGGACACUGAACAUUAAGAAACAUAACUCUAUCCUGCUUUUUGCAAGAAUGAUGGCCCUUUUUAGACUUAGAAAAUCAUGGGUAGGACAAUAUUUCUAUUACACAAAAAAAAUCAGAUGAGCGUCAGCACCCGCAAGGCGGUGCUCUUGUUUUAUAUGUGUCGAAAACUGAGAUACUAUAUAUGAUUCACAUGUAUAAAUUUUUAUUUGUUUCGGGUUAUAGAUCACAGUAGUAUGUUGUUUUGUGAUUGGUAUUUCAGUGCCAUACUGAAAAUGUUAAAACACAAGUCAUAUCUUUUGGUUAGUGGGGUGUAUUACUGCUCUCCAAUACAUUUUGGUUCGAUCAUGUCACCUAGUUGUCACUUUGGCAAUCAUGUAAUCAAUUUAGAUAAUUUUAGCUACCAAAUCAAGCUCCAAUGUUGUACUUGCUCUUAUUGCUUUAAAGAAACGUUACACAUUUCAGUGUACUGUAUCACAAAACAUAAAUGUAGUGUAGUUUUAAGUGGUAAUGUUGUAUGUUGUACAUAUAUCUCCUAUAACUCUGUUUACAGUGGCAGUACUCAUUUGUAUUGUAUAAAUGUUCAUCUGUGCUGAUGAUGAUAAAUAAACAAAUAAAUAAAUACAGUGUCACUGUAAAUUUGAAAUGUUUCAAGAAAUGUUUUUACAAGAGAGAGUGAAAUAAGAAAUCAUCGUUCAGUUUUUUUUCUAAUGGAAGUAAGCUAUGAAUAUAUUUGAACAAAGAUCAGUCACUUUUUUGGUUUGGACCUGUCAAAAAUAAUGAUGGAUGUGACUUUGACUGAAAAAAGAUCACAAACUGGAAACCCUGGAAAAUGGAAUUAUGUUGUUUGAAUAAAUUAUUCUCUUUUUUUUUCAAUUUUGUAAAAAAAAAAUUCUUUGAAUGACCUCUUAAAAAUGUCGAUAGUUCUUUUCACCAAAGGCCUGUAAAUUGACAUGGAUUUUAUUAAAUUUUCAUAUUGUUUAAUUGCUUUUACAUAAAUUUUAAACUGAUUAAUAUAUUGUGAAAAUGAUACACUUGAGCUAAUUAUAGGGAAUUUUUGUAUGUCAGACUUUGAAUUUUUGUAAUAUUGCACACCAACUGACAGUCGGUAUAUACAUGGAGGCUUGUUGUGUGCCGAAAUAAAAUGAUCUAAUUAUAUUAGUUCUACAGUAGAUAUUGAGUGUACAUGAAUAGAACAUACAGCAAAAAUAAUGGAGUGGCAAGCUUGAUCUUUUGGUGAAUCUGCUUUGAAAAUUCACAACAAUUCACCAUUUUCCUAAUAAGAGUCUGAUGUAACAUCAUAUUUUAAGGGUUUACUGUGUAAAAAAAUGUUGAUUUUGACAAAAGAUUCAACAGUUGUAAAAGUACCAGUAUUAUGUCAUGUAUUUUACUUAAAUUAUAACCUCAUGUACUGACUGGCCAAUGGCUAAAGUGAACAACUGAAAUUCUGGCUGAUUUUCCAACAAAUUUAAGAACUGUUCAUGUAAGAUGGUCUGUUAAUCUUGAGAAUGGAUUCAUACAAGACAUAAUUAUGAGAUUCUAAUUUACCAACAUGUACAUUUACUUAUUUAAAUAAAAAAAAAAUUGAAUUUUGAUAAUUUUCAAAAAGAAUUAAGAAAUAAAUUCUGAAAUUGCAGUGUGUAAUUACCGAAGAUCAACUUGCCUUGAAAUGUGCAUGGUCAGGGGUUGUCUGAAUAAAUUUACUUAAGACUUAAGUCUACAUAAGGAUCUGUCCUUCCAAAGAAAUAUUUAUAUUUUAUGAUUGAAUCUUGCAAAAUAUUGCAGAAACAUCUGUCCUGUAGAUCAUUUGAUAUAAUAUGCUUUUUAAAACAAAAGUUUGUUCUUUGUUCAGAAACCAAAUAUCAAAAUUUCAUCAUAAAUCUGCUGGUUGGGUAUGUUAGUAAUGGAGCAUUGUAAUUUUGUUUAUGAUUAAGUUAAUGUAAAUUGACUACAGAAUUGUUCAUUAACAGGGCUCUGGAAAUACUGAAACUCAAUUUGGUCCGAAAUGAAAUCACAACAUUGGCGCUACCCCACAGCAUUAAAAGUACUUGAACACAUUGGCUGUUAUAAGUUCCAUGAAUAUAUGUAUAUUUCUUAAUGUUUUAGUAGGAUAUUUCUCAGUCUUGGAUAUACGUUGUUGUUUGUUCAAUAUGUUUAAAUGAAAAAUAUAAAUGACUAAAUAAAUGUACAUA